Mesocricetus auratus (golden hamster) is the source of this 938-nucleotide long non-coding RNA. RefSeq lists it as uncharacterized. NCBI's taxonomy places the organism in Eukaryota, Metazoa, Chordata, Mammalia, Rodentia, Cricetidae. The record is from RefSeq and is a predicted model, not a curated record. The transcript is spliced from 3 exons.
CUUGGUGUCUGUUUCCUAUUUUUCUGGGCCUCAUCAUUGAAGCACGGCUGCUCUGCCUCAGCCAUAAAUUAAAGGAGCAGAAAUCAGGUUAGCCAGUGAAACCUGGGCCCCUGGAGCAGCUGGAAGGAGCCUGAACUGUAGAAAGGACUCCUGGAGGGGCAUGCCAGGCCAGAAACAGUCACUGUUCCGGAAUAAAGACUGGUGCAGAGUCUAACUACACAGAAUGAUGUCCUGUGUUCUCGAGGCUUCGGAGAGCAAGAUUUCAGAGAUCCUGGGAGGAAAACAUACCAACUCAACAAGAAGGAGGUCAGAGAAGUUUGAUGUUGGAAACACUGAGGCUAACAGACAUCAGGAGAAGAAUGAGGGAAACUGGCGUGAGCUGGAGAGAAGUCCCCAUCUGGGAUUUGAACGGUCUGAAUGAGGGAUGGCUUGACUCCAGGCUGCGGGCUGCAGGCAGGCAAGGGACUCUGCUGACUGGAGACAGAGACAUCAGUUAUUUAUCGUGUGGUCUGGCUCAGAACAACACGGUAGUGAGAGUGUGUUGUGUACGUGCGUGUGCGUGUGGGGGUGUGUGCUUGCAUGUUUGUGAAUGUGAGAUUCCCUGUUGCCUUUGGAUUCUUUAAACUUCACUAGGAAAUUUGUUACUAUUCGGAAUGUUAUGCAUGAUUUGUUUUCUUUCCUGGUGCUGGGGACUAAACACCGGCCCUUUGGCUGGCUUGGAAAGUGCUCUCCGAUGGAGGGAAAGCCCCAGCUCUGCACUUUUUAAAAAACAUAUUAUUGCCCUAAUUUCUCCAUUCCAAUUAUAAUAUAAGACACAAUGGGAUAGGGAAUUGUGUUUAUUUUGUUCCUUGUUAUAUCUGCAAUCAUUAGCCAACCUGAGCUAUACGAGACCUUAACAAACAAACAAAUAAAUAAAUAAAUACAAGUUUAAAAAUAAA